This 259-nucleotide ribosomal RNA is filed under the name uncultured bacterium. RNAcentral describes it as "partial small subunit ribosomal RNA". It matches the Rfam family "Bacterial small subunit ribosomal RNA", at positions 26 to 285 of the family's 1533-position model. The record is from RNAcentral.
AGAUUGAACGCUGGCGGCGUGCCUAACACAUGCAAGUCGAGCGGUAACAGGUGUAGCAAUACAUGCUGACGAGCGGCGAACGGGUGAGUAAUGCUUUGGAAUCUUCCCAGUAGUGGGGAAUAACCAGUCGAAAGAUUGGCUAAUACCGCAUACGUCUGUAAAGGGAAAGCGGGGGCUCGUAAGACCUCGCGCUAUUGGAUGAGCCAAAGUCGGAUUAGCUAGUUGGUGGGGUAAUGGCCUACCAAGGCGACGACGGGUA